GCCGCCGCCACCUUGACCAACGGCCCCCGCAUCGCCGUCCACAGCCACGCAUCUGCCAUCCCCGGGUUCCCCUCCGCGGUUCCCUCAUCCGGCUUCGCCGAGUCGUCGCGCAUCUUCGUCCUCCCCUCCGUGGCGUCCUUCGCCGGUCUACCCUCCCCGAUGCGGUCUGCACCUACGGACUCCCCUCCUCCGUCAGCAGCUCCAGUCGCCACCCCCGCAGUGGAAUGAAUCACUCCCACGAGAUGGAGGGAGGCACGCCGUCGACCAUGGCAUCAGGGGCGGCCCAGAAGACUUCAAGUUAGUUGGUUCCUCUCCCCGAUGGAACACGCACAUGCGCGCGCGCACACACACAAAGGACGGGAAGGAGGAUAAACGGCAGCACAGGUGGGUUGGUCAUGCUUAUUGGGUUAGGGCCGUGUGAUGUUUUCUUUUCGUCAGGCAUGUUUGCUAGUAAUUUUAAAGUGUACCAAGAAAAAGAAGAGAAGACAAAACGAAUAAAAUCACUUUUGUUUUGCGAAAAGAACAAAAGCGCUUUCGUGGUUUACACCUUAGUGUUUUGGGCCAACUGAAAUGUAGAAGCAGAGCUAGGACGACGACCUGGCCAGUAGUGGUGUACAGUGUGCACGGCUAAGGGUAGGGGUGCGUGAGACUAGCGGCUUCGCCAUUCCUGAUGGUUGGUGGUCUGUUUCUGGCAUAAGAGUGAGUCGGUGAGGCCAGUCUCAGCGCCGCCAGUCUCAGCGCCCUGCCGAUCAUCAUCAUUAUUUAUUUUGAUUACUCAUCACAGACGGCUUUAGACAGCCGUGCGAUCCAAAUGUUCAUAUGACAGACAACGCCAAAAUAGUCUAUGAUGACUGGUCCGAGCCGUCUGCGAUGAGGUUCCAUAGGGUAACACUUUAGAUCACCACCUAUGAGACUUCACUCAUGGCAUUGAUCCUAAGUCUUGGUCGAGACAUACAGAGAGGUAAGAGUUUAGUGUUCAAUAACACUCUGCAUGACUGCAUCACAUAUCAACUAACCAGACUGCUGACCCUGUAUAAACUAGCAUGAAUCUGACAUAAUAAAAGUACAUUUAGGCGGAGUUGCUGGGCCUAGGCCCAGAAGACCCCCUCUCCGUUUUUUAUUUCGAACAUUGACCCCUGAAUUCCUAGACCCUGAACUGAGACACUCGGCGGUACAAGUGCACCAGCCUUUGAGAUACUCACCUUCCUGUGAGGGAAGUGGAGGUGAUGAGCUGUCCUCCCGUGAAGAGCACACCAACCUGCGGCAGCUCCAUCUCCUGCUGCAUGCCUGACAGUGGCCAAACAAAGGCAGGCCUCUCAAAUGGGGGAGUCGGGGCAGGCGCUCCACCGAUUAGCACCUGCACCGCCGUCCGCAUGGACGGUCGAUCCCUCGGGUUCGGGUGGCAGCAAGCCAAGGCCAGCCGCACCACAGAAUCCGCCUGCAUCUCGUCAUACACUCCUCCAAGCACCGCGUCGGCUGUUUCCAUGACUUUCCCCAGGCUGUAAUGCCUCCAGACCCAAUCCACAAUGUGUAUUUCUUGUGUGUCAUAUAGCAUGGACCUGCUUGGGCUCUUCCCGCUGACAACCUCCAUGGCAAAGACGCCGAAGGCGUACACGUCCGUGUCGAGGCUGGCACGACCGGUGAAGAAGCUCUCGUGCGCCAUGUAGCCCCGUGUGCCAGCAACCGCCUGCGUCGAGUGGUGUGUCGCUCCGUCGAGCUGGAUGGCACGGGCGAGGCCGAAGUCGCCCAGCCGCGCGUUGUAUGCCUCGUCGAGCAUCACAUUGCUGGGCUUGACGUCCCUGUGGAGGAUCCUCUUGCUGCUCCCGUGGUGAAGGUAGUCGAGUGCAGAUGCCACACCACAGAUUAUCCUGUAUCGCCGCUCCCAUGUGAGCGCCGAUGACGAGUACGUGGUCGUCGUGGCAUUGGCGAACAAUAGCUUGUCCAGGCUGCCCAUGGGGAAGUAGUCGUAGGCGAGGAGUAGUUCGCCUCCCUCGUGGCACCAGCCGAUCAGCUUGACAAGGUUGCGGUGGGAGAGCUUGCUGAUCGUGUUCACCUCCGCCACGAACUCCUUCUCUCCUCGGCUUGAGAGUGAGACCCGCUUCACAGCCACCUCUCUGUUGAUCCCAUUCAGGUAUCCAAGGUAAACAGUGCCGCCGCCACCUCUACCGAGCUUACGGUGAGGGCUGAAGUUGGCGGUCGCGUGCUUCAACUCCUUGAGCUUAAAUCUAACCGGGCCAUGUGCGUCGAUCAUUUUCUCGAGCGUGCGGUAGGCUAGCCUUCUCCGCUGUGUCACCCUUCUCCGCACCAACAACACAAGAAACGAUGAACAUGUAAUGAGCAAAACCAAGGCAAUGAGAACCAAAAACACCCACUUCCCAUGUCUUGUUCUUUCAGCGACGAGUAUGUCGUCUAUCGUGGUGAAGUUCCACGAUUUUAUCUGGUUCAGUUGGGUGUAAUCACCCGUGGAACCUGCAAAUCCCAGAUAUAUUUCGUCCAGUAGGUACCGUGAUAGAUCAACCGGCCAGCUCUCUCGCCAAUUAUGCCCCCCACUGCCACUUGUGUUGCGCUGGCUUACAGAUAAUACAAAAGCAUUUGAUGUGCUGUUGUAGAUGAUACUAACCAAGACAUCCGAGCCGCUUGACAGGAUGAUCGAAAGAUUGCUGAGCGGGUACGGAUAAACAGAUUUGAUGCUGUUCAAGUCGAGCCCGACAUGGUUGCCGUCGAGGUCGUCAUGGUAGCUCUUUCUCGUGUCGAAUUCCACGGCUACUAUUUGGUUCGUUGGCGCGCCAUCUGUCUGGUUGUUGCAUAUGCCGAGCCACUGGCCGCCGCUGUUCCUGGGCAACGACAGGCUAUUUGUGAGUAUGAAAGCCAUACCUUCUCCCGGGAGGAUGUUGAGCGUGAACUGCGUCCUGAAAGAUGUGAGCACAGUUCGCUUCCUGUUCCACAGCUUGAGGGUUUCCUUUACGUAUACCACCCUUCCCGACUGGUGGCUCGAGUUUCCGGUGUUCGGCACGAUUCUCAGGGAACCAUUUGCAAUUGCUGAACCUGGGCUGAAGCUGAAAUCAUUCUUGUUGGUCAUGUCGAAGCUGGGGUAGUUAAAUUGCAGGCAACUGCAGGUUCUGCCUUGGAUGGCAAGGCCUGCAGAGGCUACUAUGAAGGAAAGGCUCAAGAUCAUGCUACGGGGCGUUGUCAUGGCCAAAAUGGUGCUUGGAUUUCUGCAAUCUCACCAAGACAAUAUAACACAGUAUGUGAGUUCAUAUCCUCCACAUAUUUCAAGAUACUACUAAGCCUUCAAGUAUCGAAGGGAGGAAGACUUGGAAUAGUCAUAGUCAAUGGAAAAGAUCGCCAUCGGCAAGGCCCCUGUCAGUAUCUGUUUCUUUGAUAUAGAAAUACUUAUUAUUGAUUUCCUGGCAUAGUUGGCACGGUGAACCAAAUCCGAGGUCCAAUCAGAGUCAAAACCUUGGUAUUCUAGAAAACAUUUUUUCAGUAUUCUAGAAAAGAGAGUCAAAACCUUGGAUUUGUCUUGUUUGAAACUCUUUUCUGUGAUCUGGCAUGUUUAAUUUGUGAGGCGAAUGUUUGACCUCGGCGCAAGUGGAAGAAAUCCAGAGGCUCUUCCCUGGCUAAACGGUGAUGCAUCAGUGUUUGCCUCAAGUCCGAAGAUGAAUGCCUUCAUGUUUUGACCGAAGUCCAAAGUGGUAUUUGAUCAAAUAAAGCAUGGCAGGUCACCCCUUCGUACCUGUAUGGUUUAUUCCCGUCUGAUGCUUGUCUUUGGACAUUUGGCUGAGUGACUAGAACUAGACGAGGUAAGGGCGGCGUGAGCUGCACGGCCAUUUGCGCUGAAAAUUAAGUGGGCGCUGGUUCAGCAAGCAAAGACCCAAUGUGUCAGUCUAUUUCAAAAAGAAGAGGUGCUGUUGGUUCAGUAAGCAAACACCCAAGAGGUCCCUGUCUAUUUGAGAAAAAGGAAAGUGCAACAAAAAUGUCAAACAUCGCGUGCGUGGACUGGAUUAAUCUUCUGGCGUGCAUCCUGGCAUUUACCUCAAAUUUUGACCAGGAUGUAUCAUGUAUGACUUUGUUAAACAGCAAUGUCCAGAAACAGAUCAUGAACGGCGUUAACAGAGUUUCGGAGCACAAAUUCAUUGCUGUUCAUCUGCUUUUUUAUUGUUUUUAUUAUUUUUUCCCAAGGAAGAAGGAUUAGUAAAUGUUGCUGUUUUCUACUGGGAAAUUCAUUCAUCUGCUUGAUCAUUCGUGUGCCGAGGUGACGGGCAUAGAAGAUGCAGAGUUCAGAGUUGGGUCAGAGUUCAGCAUAGAUGGCUUCCUUUCAAUAUUGUUUACCUAGCACUUACCAUGUGGUUGAUGGAUGCAUGCAUCGCCUAGAUGCAGAGGCCGGGGGUCAUCCUCCUCUAAAAAAUGUGGUUGAUGGAUGUAUACAUACAUAUGCAGCACGGGAUCAAGGACAUGGAGUACAGCACAAGGGUGAAGGAUGAAGAAGGCUACCCUGCCAUGUCACUCGUCAACAAGACCACCGCAGAGGCUCUCAAGCACUCCUUCAGCUAAUCGGCCAAUACCACCUUUAAUACAUGUUGAUUUGGCUCUUGUCCCGACAUACCUUUGUUUUUGCGGAGGGUUGGCGGAUUUUGAGCCAGAUGUACCAUUCAUAACGCUGGUGAGCAUGGAUUGGGAAGAUGAAGAUGAUAGGUAGAGAAAGAAGAAGACGAAAAAGAGUGAUGAUUUUAAGGUAGAAAAAGUAGACAAUGCUUCUUGAUGUGCAUGAGGAUUCCAAACAUAUAUAUUUGAGACAAUUGGUGUUAAACCAGUGGAAUAUUUAUAUCUCAGUUGCAACGUGCGGGCAAUUAUACGUAUAUCAUUAUAUGUUAUAUGCU
This is a long non-coding RNA of Triticum aestivum (bread wheat), 4880 nucleotides long. RefSeq lists it as uncharacterized. The record is from RefSeq and is a predicted model, not a curated record. Lineage: Eukaryota; Viridiplantae; Streptophyta; Magnoliopsida; Poales; Poaceae. The transcript has 3 exons.